Molecule: ribosomal RNA, 1057 nt
Filed under: marine metagenome
Description: bacterial SSU rRNA
Rfam family: Eukaryotic small subunit ribosomal RNA
Source: RNAcentral
CCUGGUUGAUCCUGCCAGUAGUCAUAUGCUUGUCUCAAAGAUUAAGCCAUGCAUGUCUAAGUAUAAGCAAUUUAUACGGCGAAACUGCAGAUGGCUCAUUAAAACAGUUAUAGUUUAUUUGAUGGUCUAUUACUACUUGGAUAACCGUAGUAAUUCUAGGGCUAAUACAUGCACGAAGGUCCAACUCACGGCGGACUGUAUUUAUUAGAUAAAACACCAAUUCCCUCCGGGGAUCCGGUGAGUCAUAGUAACUUUUCGAAUCGUAUGGUCUUGUACCGACGAUAGGUCAUUCAAAUUUCUGCCCUAUCAGCUUUCGAUGGUAGGAUAUGGGCCUACCAUGGCUUUAACGGGUGACGGAGAAUUAGGGUUCGAUUCCGGAGAGGGAGCCUGAGAAACGGCUACCACAUCUAAGGAAGGCAGCAGGCACGAAAAUUACCCAAUCCCAACUCGGGGAGGUAGUGACAAGAAAUAACAAUACGGGGUCUUUAUAGGUCUCGCAAUUGGAAUGAGUACAAUUUAAAUCCUUUAACGAGGAUCAAUUGGAGGGCAAGUCUGGUGCCAGCAGCCGCGGUAAUUCCAGCUCCAAUAGCGUAUAUUAAAGUUGUUGCGGUUAAAAAGCUCGUAGUUGGAUUUCUGUCGGUGAGUUGCAGUCCGGCCACUGUGCUUGGUACUUGUAACGCCACCGGCAUCUUCCUGGGGACUGUGUCUGCUCUUCAUUGAGUGGCUCAUAAUCCAGGACUUUUACUUUGAAGAAAUAGGAGUGUUUCAAGCAGGCAUGCGCCGUGAACACGUUAGCAUGGAAUAAUAGCAUCGGACCUCGCUCCAAAGCUGUUGGUUUCUUGGACCGAGGUAAAGGUGAAUAGGGAUUGUUGGGGGCAUUCGUAUUUAACUGUCAGAGGUGAAAUUCUUGGAUUUGUUGAAGACGGACUACUGCGAAAGCAUCUGCCAAAGAUGUUCUCAUUGAUCAAGAACGAAAGUUAGGUGAUCGAAGACGAUCAGAUACCGUCCUAGUCUUAACCAUAAACUAUGCCGACUGGAGAUCGGGGGUCGUUAACUU